UGUAGGCUGCAACCCGCCUGCAUGAAGUUGGAAUUGCUAGUAAUCGCGGAUCAGCAUGCCGCGGUGAAUACGUUCCCGGGGAUUGUACACACCGCCCCGUCACACCAUGAGAGUCGGGAACACCCAAAGUCCGUAGUCUAACCGCAAGGAGGGCGCGGCCUAAGGUGGGUUCGAUAAUUGGGGUGAAGUCGUAACAAGGUAAC
RNAcentral lists this ribosomal RNA (203 nucleotides) under uncultured bacterium. Its description in RNAcentral is "partial 16S ribosomal RNA". It matches the Rfam family "Bacterial small subunit ribosomal RNA", at positions 1299 to 1500 of the family's 1533-position model. The record is from RNAcentral.